GGGGUACUCGAGCGGCGAACGGGUGAGUAACACGUGAGCAACCUGCCCCAAGCUUUGGGAUAACCCUCGGAAACGGGGGCUAAUACCGAAUAGGACUUCUGGCCGCAUGGCUGGUGGUGGAAAGUUUUUCGGCUUGGGAUGGGCUCGCGGCCUAUCAGCUUGUUGGUGGGGUGAUGGCCUACCAAGGCGACGACGGGUAGCCGGCCUGAGAGGGCGACCGGCCACACUGGGACUGAGACACGGCCCAGACUCCUACGGGAGGCAGCAGUGGGGAAUAUUGCACAAUGGGCGGAAGCCUGAUGCAGCGACGCCGCGUGAGGGAUGACGGCCUUCGGGUUGUAAACCUCUUUCAGCAGGGACGAAGCGAGAGUGACGGUACCUGCAGAAGAAGCACCGGCCAACUACGUGCCAGCAGCCGCGGUAAGACGUAGGGUGCGAGCGUUGUCCGGAUUUAUUGGGCGUAAAGAGCUCGUAGGCGGCUUGUCGCGUCGACCGUGAAAACUUGGGGCUCAACCCCAAGCCUGCGGUCGAUACGGGCAGGCUAGAGUUCGGUAGGGGAGACUGGAAUUCCUGGUGUAGCGGUGAAAUGCGCAGAUAUCAG
RNAcentral lists this ribosomal RNA (601 nucleotides) under Micromonospora sp. I08A-00658. RNAcentral's name for it is "bacterial SSU rRNA". It matches the Rfam family "Bacterial small subunit ribosomal RNA", at positions 84 to 700 of the family's 1533-position model. Lineage: Bacteria; Bacillati; Actinomycetota; Actinomycetes; Micromonosporales; Micromonosporaceae. The record is from RNAcentral.